RNAcentral lists this non-coding RNA (611 nucleotides) under Bombilactobacillus mellifer. RNAcentral's name for it is "Lactobacillus mellifer Bacterial large subunit ribosomal RNA". It matches the Rfam family "Bacterial large subunit ribosomal RNA", at positions 2315 to 2925 of the family's 2925-position model. The record is from Rfam by way of RNAcentral. Lineage: Bacteria; Bacillati; Bacillota; Bacilli; Lactobacillales; Lactobacillaceae.
GGUUCCCUCAGAAUGGUUGGAAAUCAUUCACAGAGUGUAAAGGCAGAAGGGAGCUUGACUGCGAGACCCACAAGUCGAGCAGGGACGAAAGUCGGGCUUAGUGAUCCGGUGGCACCGCAUGGAAGGGCCAUCGCUCAACGGAUAAAAGCUACCCUGGGGAUAACAGGCUUAUCUCCCCCAAGAGUUCACAUCGACGGGGAGGUUUGGCACCUCGAUGUCGGCUCAUCGCAUCCUGGGGCUGUAGUCGGUCCCAAGGGUUGGGCUGUUCGCCCAUUAAAGCGGUACGCGAGCUGGGUUCAGAACGUCGUGAGACAGUUCGGUCCCUAUCCGUCGCGGGCGUAGGAAAUUUGCGAGGGUCUGUCCUUAGUACGAGAGGACCGGGAUGGACAUACCGCUGGUGAACCAGUUGUCUUGCCCAAGGCAGCGCUGGGUAGCUAUGUAUGGACGGGAUAAACGCUGAAAGCAUCUAAGUGUGAAACCCACCUCCAGAUGAGAUUUCCCAUUCAGAAAUGAAGUAAGACCCCUCAGAGAAGAUGAGGUAGAUAGGUUGCGCGUGGAAGUACGGUGACGUAUGGAGCGGAGCGAUACUAAUCGGUCGAGGACUUAACCGA